GAAAUGGUCUCAGUGGUAGAACAUCUGCUUUGCAUGCAGAAGGUCCCUGGUUCAAUUGCCACCAUCUCCA
Podarcis lilfordi (Lilford's wall lizard) is the source of this 70-nucleotide non-coding RNA. The record is from the annotation of a GenBank genome assembly. NCBI's taxonomy places the organism in Eukaryota, Metazoa, Chordata, Lepidosauria, Squamata, Lacertidae.